GAGCAGGGAUGAGCUGAGCCCACAGAACCCCACAUUUUCCAGCCCCAAAUCCACAUUUUCCAGCCCCAAAAUCCCACAUUUUUCAACCUCAAAUAUUCCCUGUUAGUCGGUCCAUAUGAAAGGCUCUUCCCAGACAGAAAGGGGGAACAUUGAACCCCUAAAAUUGCUGUAAAAAUCAAUGGGAAAAAACACAUUUUGGGAGUUGAUGUCCUUGUGGGAUCCAAUGCUGGAACUCUGUCACUCCAAAGAGUCAGGAAUGAAGGGAAUGGCACUUCCAGAGGUGCCAAAACCCCCCAAAAUCCCUCAAAAAUCCCCAGAAAACUAUGGUUUCAGCUUGAGCCAGGGGUGCAGGAUGGUGAUGAUGGAGAGCACAGAGGAGCUGAGCCCACACAACCCCACCACGGCCNCCCAGCCCAUCCCAGUGCUCCCAGUCCAGCGUUUCCAGUUCAGCCCAGUACACCCAGUCCAGCAUUCCCAGUGCCCCCAGUUCAGCCCAGUCCAUCCCAGUACCCCCAGUCCAGCAUUCCCAGUUUAGCCCAGUGUCUCCAGCCCAUCCCAGUGCUCCCAGUUCAGCCCAGUGCCCCCAGUCCAGCAUUCCCAGUUCAGCCCAGUGUCCCCAGUUCAGGGGCAGGUUUAGGUGGGCAUCAGAACCAGGUUUAG
This 660-nucleotide long non-coding RNA is filed under the name Zonotrichia albicollis (white-throated sparrow). Its description in RNAcentral is "lncRNA (ENSZALG00000002151.1)". Lineage: Eukaryota; Metazoa; Chordata; Aves; Passeriformes; Passerellidae. The record is from RNAcentral.